CCUACGGGAGGCAGCAGUGAGGAAUAUUGGUCAAUGGACGAGAGUCUGAACCAGCCAAGUAGCGUGAAGGAUGACUGCCCUAUGGGUUGUAAACUUCCUUUAUAUGGGAAUAAAACAGGGUAUGCAUACCCUCUUGUGUGUACCAUAUGAAUAAGGAUCGGCUAACUCCGUGCCAGCAGCCGCGGUAAUACGGAGGAUCCGAGCGUUAUCCGGAUUUAUUGGGUUUAAAGGGAGCGUAGGUGGAUUUGUAAGUCAGUUGUGAAAUUUUGCGGCUCAACCGUAAAAUUGCAGUUGAAACUGGCAGUCUUGAGUGCAGGAGAGGGGGGCGGAAUUCGAGGUGUAGCGGUGAAAUGCGUAGAUAUCACGAAGAACUCCGAUUGCGAAGGCAGCUCACUGGACUGCAACUGACGCUGAUGCUCGAAAGUGUGGGUAGCAAACAGGAUUAGAUACCCGUGUAGUC
This 460-nucleotide ribosomal RNA is filed under the name uncultured bacterium. RNAcentral describes it as "partial 16S ribosomal RNA". It matches the Rfam family "Bacterial small subunit ribosomal RNA", at positions 338 to 795 of the family's 1533-position model. The record is from RNAcentral.